This 490-nucleotide ribosomal RNA is filed under the name uncultured bacterium. Its description in RNAcentral is "partial 16S ribosomal RNA". It matches the Rfam family "Bacterial small subunit ribosomal RNA", at positions 30 to 507 of the family's 1533-position model. The record is from RNAcentral.
AUUGAACGCUGGCGGCAGGCCUAACACAUGCAAGUCGAACGGUAACAGGAAACAGCUUGCUGUUUCGCUGACGAGUGGCGGACGGGUGAGUAAUGUCUGGGAAACUGCCUGAUGGAGGGGGAUAACUACUGGAAACGGUAGCUAAUACCGCAUAACGUCGCAAGACCAAAGAGGGGGAGCCCCGGGCCCCUUGCCAUCGGAUGUGCCCAGAUGGGAUUAGCUUGUUGGUGGGGUAACGGCUCACCAAGGCGACGAUCCCUAGCUGGUCUGAGAGGAUGACCAGCCACACUGGAACUGAGACACGGUCCAGACUCCUACGGGAGGCAGCAGUGGGGAAUAUUGCACAAUGGGCGCAAGCCUGAUGCAGCCAUGCCGCGUGUAUGAAGAAGGCCUUCGGGUUGUAAAGUACUUUCGGCGGGGAGGAAGAGAGUAAGGUUAAUACCUUUGCUCAUUGACGUUACCCGCAGAAGAAGCACCGGCUAACUCCGUG